Molecule: ribosomal RNA, 326 nt
Filed under: uncultured soil bacterium
Lineage: Bacteria
Description: bacterial SSU rRNA
Rfam family: Bacterial small subunit ribosomal RNA
Source: RNAcentral
AGAUUGAACGCUGGCGGCAUGCCUUACACAUGCAAGUCGAACGGCAGCACGGGGGCAACCCUGGUGGCGAGUGGCGAACGGGUGAGUAAUGCAUCGGAACGUGCCCAGUAGUGGGGGAUAACUAGUCGAAAGAUUAGCUAAUACCGCAUACGACCUAUGGGUGAAAGCGGGGAUUCGCAAGAACCUCGCGCUAUCGGAGCGGCCGAUGUCUGAUUAGCUAGUUGGCGGGUAAAGCCCACCAAGGCGACGAUCAGUACGCUGGUCUGAGACGGACGACCACGCCACACGUGGGACCUGAGACACGGCCCAGUACUCCGUAGGGAGCA